CCAAAGUGCAAAUUUGGGAGAGCACCCUAACGGGUGCCCGGGCUUCUCCCGUUU
This 54-nucleotide transfer RNA is filed under the name Alsophylax pipiens. Its description in RNAcentral is "partial tRNA-Cys". The record is from RNAcentral. Lineage: Eukaryota; Metazoa; Chordata; Lepidosauria; Squamata; Gekkonidae.